RNAcentral lists this unclassified non-coding RNA (337 nucleotides) under soil metagenome. RNAcentral describes it as "partial contains 5.8S ribosomal RNA, internal transcribed spacer 2, and large subunit ribosomal RNA". The stretch from base 1 to 120 matches the Rfam family "5.8S ribosomal RNA", at positions 35 to 154 of the family's 154-position model. The record is from RNAcentral.
GAUGAAGAACGUAGCGAAAUGCGAUAAGUAAUGUGAAUUGCAGAAUUCAGUGAAUCAUCGAAUCUUUGAACGCACAUUGCGCCCCUUGGUAUUCCGGGGGGCAUGCCUGUUCGAGCGUCAUUUCAACCCUCAAGCUCUGCUUGUGUUGGGGUCCUGCGGCUGCCCGCAGGCCCUGAAACCCAGUGGCGGGCUCGCUAGUCACACCGAGCGCAGUAGCACAUCUCGCUCAGGGCGUGCGGCGGGUUCUUGCCGUAAAACAACCCCCCCUUUUCACCAAGGUUGACCUCGGAUCAGGUAGGAAUACCCGCUGAACUUAAGCAUAUCAAUAAGCGGAGGA